This 468-nucleotide ribosomal RNA is filed under the name uncultured bacterium. Its description in RNAcentral is "partial 16S ribosomal RNA". It matches the Rfam family "Bacterial small subunit ribosomal RNA", at positions 28 to 507 of the family's 1533-position model. The record is from RNAcentral.
GACGAACGCUGGCGGCGUGCUUAACACAUGCAAGUCGAACGGAAAGGCCCUGCUUUUGUGGGGUGCUCGAGUGGCGAACGGGUGAGUAACACGUGAGUAACCUGCCCUUGACUUUGGGAUAACUUCAGGAAACUGGGGCUAAUACCGGAUAGGAGCUCCUGCUGCAUGGUGGGGGUUGGAAAGUUUCGGCGGUUGGGGCUGGACUCGCGGCUUAUCAGCUUGUUGGUGGGGUAUUGGCUUACCAAGGCUUUGACGGGUAGCCGGCCUGAUAGGGUGACCGGCCACAUUGUGACUGAGAUACGGCCAAGACUCGUACAGGAGGCAGCAGUGGGGAAUAUUGAACAAUGGGCGGAAGCCUGAUGCAGCAACGCCGCGUGCGGGAUGACGGCCUUCGGGUUGUAAACCGCUUUCGCCUGUGACGAAGCGUGAGUGACGGUAAUGGGUAAAGAAGCACCGGCUAACUACGUG